This is a long non-coding RNA of Chenopodium quinoa (quinoa), 819 nucleotides long. RefSeq lists it as uncharacterized. The record is from RefSeq and is a predicted model, not a curated record. The transcript is spliced from 3 exons. Lineage: Eukaryota; Viridiplantae; Streptophyta; Magnoliopsida; Caryophyllales; Amaranthaceae.
AAAAAAAAAUAAAUAAAUCGGGGUAUUCAUUUCUCUGCUUCUUCUUCUUUCUUUCUUUCCCCCCUGCAUUUCAUUUUCGUUAUCCCUAACUCUCGUUUUCGCCCUUCUCUUAGCUUCGACCACCUUUCUCCAUAUUUCUCCUCCAUUACGCGUGCUCGUAGUUCUCCAUUGAAGCGCAUUCUGAGUUUUAUCCAUAUCACUCCUCCACUACGCGUACUGUAUUCUCCAUUGAAGCGGAUUCGAGCUUUCUCACCUUCAUUGAAGCAGCUUCGAGGGUGUUGGAGGAGGAGUUGAAUUAACUCCUGGAUAUUUGAAGCUGGUGUAUGAUAUGGUACGUAAGGCUGGAGGAGUCUGCAUUGCUGAUGAAGUUCAAACUGGAUUUGGUUGAACAGGGAUCAAGUAUUGGGGCUUUGAAACACAAGGCGUUAUUCCUGAUAUAGAGAUAAUGGCAAAGGGAAUCGGCAAUGGCCUACCCCUUAGAGCAGUGGUGACUACACCUGAGAUUGCUAGCGUAUUGGCUAAAUUCAAUUUAAUACUUACGGAGGAAACCCGGUGUGCUCUGCAGGUGGUCUUGCAGUCCUGAGGGUAAUUGACAAGGAAAAACGUCAACAACACUGUUCUGAUGUAGGGACCUGCCGCCACUCACCCUUCGACGGCCACCCUCCGUUUAAUUUCGUAAUUUACUCAUGCUUCAACUGUAUUACCUCCUUUUCAUUCUCUAAUUCCUUGUUUACAUUUCACUUUAGCAUUUCUAAACAUUUUAUUCUGGAAUUUUGGUCAGGUUGAAAUUAUCUUAAUUGUGAUGAAUUUAUUGACUUA